Molecule: ribosomal RNA, 476 nt
Filed under: uncultured bacterium
Lineage: Bacteria
Description: bacterial SSU rRNA
Rfam family: Bacterial small subunit ribosomal RNA
Source: RNAcentral
GACGAACGCUGGCGGCGUGCCUAACACAUGCAAGUCAACUUGACUGAAGGAGCAAUCUGACAGUAGAGUGGCGCAAGGGUGCGUAACGCGUAAGUAACUUGCCCAAGGUAAGGAAUAACGUCGAGAAAUCGGCGCUAAUACCUCAUAAUGCAGCGGAUCCGCAUGGAUAUGUUGUUAAAGGUUACCGCCUUGGAUAGGCUUGCGUCUGAUUAGUUAGUUGGUGUGGUAACGGCACACCAAGGCUACGAUCAGUAACUGGUCUGAGAGGAUGAUCAGUCACACUGGAACUGAGACACGGUCCAGACUCCUACGGGAGGCAGCAGUGAGGAAUAUUGGGCAAUGCUCGAAAGAGUGACCCAGCAACGCCGCGUGGAGGAUGAAGGUAUUCUAUAUCGUAAACUCCUGUGAGAGCAGACGAAAGACAGAUUAUUAAUCUGGAUGACUGUAUGCUCAGAGGAAGCCCCGGCUAACUACGU